CUCCUCUACCUCUACCUUCUCUCAUUCCAUCUUUCUUUUGUAAUUACUAUGGGCAAGCACAAACAGGGUCUUAAUGGUUGGAUAUAUGGAUCUCAAUAAUUAUUUUGGAUGAAUUGUGCGUGAUUUGGUCUGUCCAGAGUUUGAGUUAUAUUUGUGCAAAUGCUACAUGAGGACAAUAAUUAAUUUGGUCCAAUUUGAUUGGAUGUAUACACGCCCAAUAGUCUCACCAAACAUAGAACCUAGGCACUACAUCAGAUAUCUUCCAUUAGACAAAUUGAAUCUAAUGCACUAUAAUGAUAGCUCAUUUACAUGUAGUAAGCCAUGGCCCCAACAGUAAUUUGCUACUCUUUGCCCGGUUGAAGCCCAGCAGGCGUUUAACAGUAUUCCAAGAACUUAGAAUUUCCCCUUUUAUUUUUCUUUUUUUUUCUUUUCUUUUCUUUUUAAUUGUUUAAUGGUAUUGCAACAACAUAAAAUUUCCCAAUAGAAGAUUUAGGUUCUUUGAGCUACAUAUCAGGGCCUCAACCCAGUUCAAUGGAUGUCUACAGUAGCUAUGAAGAAUUGAAAAUUUCCAUCAGUUGUGAGUUCUAGAUUUGUUGUUGCUGCAACUUGCAAGGGUAUUAUGUUUAUUGUUGGGUCCAGAACGCUCUUCAGUCUCAGAUUGAGAACAUAACUUCAGGUUUCAGGUACCAACACUACAAGAUAGGCAAGCAGGGUUUCAACCAUACGUUUCAAGUUUGUUUGUGGCCUUUAUACAUUUUGCAGAAAGAAUUUAUUGUACUAUUAUUGUGGUGUUUUGUACUGAGCCCUGCCUGCGUGUCUUCAUUUGCAUGUCAGUUGUUACACCUUGCUAGUGGGGCAGAAGCACACAGAAAAAAGAGAAGAGAUGUGAGAUACGUUGGAUUCUUCAUGCAAAGAACCAAAGGAAUUUUCUAACUCUAGGGGCUUUAGUUCAAUAUCGUUCUUUCAUCAUAAUGAUUUCCUGCAGUUGACUAUGUAUAUUUGUUUUGUAGAAUUGCUAUAUUCCUUUUCGGUAUCUGAUUUCAGCUUGUGACAAGGUAUUGUUAUCAUAAUAACACUGAACAUAUUUACAAAAGAAAGCCUGAUUUUGUUCAGGAAUAAUUACCAGCAACUCAAUAUUGUAUUUGCAUAAUAUGAAAAUCAUAUUGAUAAUUAUGUAUACGAAUUUUCAGUCCUGAUGUAGUAUUAUUGCAAGUGGAAAGUCGAUAUUAGCACACAUGAAUCUGAACUUCUAUCGCAGAAUACAGAUGUAGCUAUUUAGCAUCUUCACUCUCCUUGGCAGGUUUAUGUUAAGGAUGUAAAGAAACACCGCUACUACCCUGCUUAGAGAUAGAAUUUUAUUUUGGCUUGGCAAAUGGACAUAAAGUUACAGUAGUUCAAAACCCAAGCAAUGUGUUAGGUUUAUACUCUUGUUAUAGAUAUGGAGUCGAGCAUUAGACUUGAUAAUGGAUGUGCAUUGGAAAAUCAUUCUUGAUCUCUUCCUGGCAUAAAAUAGAUGAAGUUGUUAUUGUUAAUAUGUUCUGACUUCAGUUUUGCUUUCAGGCUACUAACGUGAUAAUGAAUAUUGACGCACAUUUGCUUUUUAAAACGGUAGUGUUGGAUUAAAGAUGGUUUGUACGCUGUUCCCACGGCACCAGGUCCUCAUGCUACUUGAACAAACUAAUUACUAACUCAAGUUUGACUCAAAAUAAGAAUAAUGGGUGCAACGGGGGGAAGUUCAACCAAACUAAUGAUAAAGUAUUGAGGUAUGGAGUUAGAACUAAUAAGAAGUUAGUUAAGAAAGCACAUCAUCCAAGUUACAUCUCCCUUUUAUCAGUUCAUACUUUAAUUUUCUCAGCAGUUAGUGUUGCUCUAUUACCUUUUAUUCUUUCUCAUUAGGCUAUGUCCUGAUUGGAUAUUUGUUGUAGGUUCUCUUUUGGUAAGAACUGAGAGGCCUUAGGAAGCUAUUUUCAUCUUUAUAGAUUUAUGGUUAAGGCUUUAGACUGAACCUUUUCAAAAAUAUUGAGUAAAUGUCCAUGGAAUUUCGUGUAGUUCAGCGGCCAAUUGCUCCACUCCUAACGCUGACCUGGAUGCUUAGGACAGACUCGAUGCUGCAGACCACGAUGCCUCGGCCGCAACCAGACAAUUUUAGUACCUCACGUUCGUCUUUAAUCAUUUAAAUGGAUAUUUUUAGAUCAGAGGCCUUGUUUGAUACAGAUAUUCAAGUUCACGUGCUCAAAUUUGUAAUCUGAAAACAUCACUGAGUGCUAAAGUAUUCUGGUAGCCUGUUAAUUUCUUGAUCGGUGCUUGGCAAGUGCUUGCAGAAAUGCUUUAAUUAGCUGCGAGGGCGGAUGUGAUACUGUAAAUUUCGCGAUUGAUGGUGUGUUUUCCUUGCACACGAAGGAAGUGGUUCUGGACGAUUCUACUUCGAUAUAAUUGUGGUGUAAUGGUUUUAGGGUUAACUAGAGAGGACAUGGCUUUUGGAUUCACCAUGGAUCCUCUGCCUACUCAACUACAGGACUAUUGAGAUGAAUAUGCUUUGUCACUCCAACCAGUUUUGAACUUUUGGUAUAGAUUACAACAACACCAUAUGAAGAAGUUGAUUAUCAGAAGUUCAGAACACAAAAAAGAACGAUCCUCCAUUUGUUCACUGCUUGGUAUUUGGUUGUCUCAUUGGAACCACAUAUGGAAGGUUAUAUGAUGUUAUGUAGAUUUGUCAUUUUGAAUGUGAGCGGAAGCACUGCCCCACUUAUCGUUCGUUUGUGUCCGGAUAGCUUGUUGUAACUUUUUGGCAACAAAUACCAUAGCAAAAUCAUGAUUUUUUCCGGUUA
Lolium rigidum is the source of this 2828-nucleotide long non-coding RNA. RefSeq lists it as uncharacterized. The transcript is spliced from 2 exons. The record is from RefSeq and is a predicted model, not a curated record. Lineage: Eukaryota; Viridiplantae; Streptophyta; Magnoliopsida; Poales; Poaceae.